AUACUUACCUGGUAGGGGAGAUACCAUGAUCACGAAGGUGGUUUCCCCAGGGCGAAACAUCCAUUGUACUCCAGGUGUGCUGACCCCUGUGAUUUCCACAAAUGUGAGGAACUGAACUGCAUAAUUUGUGGUAUUGAGGGACUGCAUUUGUGCUCUCCGCUA
This is a small nuclear RNA of Suncus etruscus (white-toothed pygmy shrew), 162 nucleotides long. RefSeq annotates it as U1 spliceosomal RNA. The transcript has a single exon. The record is from RefSeq and is a predicted model, not a curated record. Lineage: Eukaryota; Metazoa; Chordata; Mammalia; Eulipotyphla; Soricidae.